Molecule: ribosomal RNA, 252 nt
Filed under: uncultured bacterium
Lineage: Bacteria
Description: partial 16S ribosomal RNA
Rfam family: Bacterial small subunit ribosomal RNA
Source: RNAcentral
CGGAGGAUCCAAGCGUUAUCCGGAAUCAUUGGGUUUAAAGGGUCCGUAGGCGGCCUUAUAAGUCAGUGGUGAAAGCCCAUCGCUUAACGAUGGAACGGCCAUUGAUACUGUAGGGCUUGAAUUUUGUGAAGUAACUAGAAUAUGUAGUGUAGCGGUGAAAUGCUUAGAUAUUACAUGGAAUACCAAUUGCGAAGGCAGGUUACUAACAACAAUUGACGCUGAUGGACGAAAGCGUGGGGAGCGAACAGGAUU